Ctenopharyngodon idella (grass carp) is the source of this 1791-nucleotide long non-coding RNA. RefSeq lists it as uncharacterized. The transcript is spliced from 3 exons. The record is from RefSeq and is a predicted model, not a curated record. Lineage: Eukaryota; Metazoa; Chordata; Actinopteri; Cypriniformes; Xenocyprididae.
UUACUGUAUGCAUGUGUUUUAAUUACAUGAAUACAUUAGCCAGACCAAUACUGACUCAUUCCCUAUAGAUGCUCAUUGUGAAUUCAAAAUAAAAAGUACCUCCAAACAUAACCUCCAAACAUAAUCCACAAAUAUAAACAUUCACUACCAGAAUAAUACAUUUAACACUGCAAUUUUAUCACACAUAAAACAUGGGUACCCCUAUUAACAUUACACAAUGGUUUGGCCGGCUUCCGGUGCACUGCGCCGGUGCGGCGCGGUCAGUGAUGUCCUAACCAAUCGCCGCUCGAUUGCUCUGUUUGGCCGACGCAGCGUCUCACACUGGAACGCCGACCAUCGCAUGCCCAAUUAAACACACUAAAACAAGGACAGGACAAGACAAUACAUCCAACAACGUGCAGUGUAAGUGUGUGAAAUGUCCAGGGUUAUGAAUACUGACGGAGGGGCAAAGAAAUAAUGUCAACAUGUCCGUGUGCCAUCGGGACUGCGUGUGCACCCGCGCCGCCGAUAGCAGCAACAGUGGGAGGGGAAAUGAGUGUGGACCAUUACAAAGAUCGUGUUCCCAUUGACAUGCAUUAUACGACUGACAGACUGCAACGGUUGGAGUUAAAAAUCAUCAUUUGUGUUCUACUGAAGAAACAGUCACCUGCAUCUUGGAUGCCCUGGGGUUUCACCUAAUCUGCCGUGGUGGUCUCCAGCAUCCGCCCUGGGGGUCUUCAGCUCCGCCGUGGUUGUCAUCAGCUCCACCUGCUCAACCUUGGUGGUCCUUAACAAUGCCUUGGUGUACCUCAGCCCCAACUGCUCCACCAUGGGUGUCUUCAGUCCUAUCUGCUCUGCUGAUCAUUAUCUCACUACCCCCGCCUAUUUAAGCCUGGUUCACUCACUCUUCGCAAUGUCUUGAUUGUCUGUUAAACUGCAAUUUAGAUCCUUUGAAUUCCUGUUUCUUCUGUGUCUUGGUUUUUGGUUUGUUUCCCUGUUCUCUGGAUUAUCUGUUUCACCUGUGAUCGAGGCUGCUUUCCAAUUUUUAUGUCCUUCACUCGCUAACUUCCCUCCGUCUCGUGGACUCGGAUGUGUGUCAUUGUUUAAGUUGCACGAGUGCCCACUACUGGCGGAACUCGUGCAUAAGUUUUAAAUGAAACGCACUAAGCCCUUGAUCACUUGGAAUUCACUAUGGAGCUGAUUUAUUAUUUAAACCCAUUUUGUACUUAUGAAUUUGUUUCAUGCACCAUUCUAUAUGCUUAUAAGUUGUUGGAGAAUAUAUAUAAAAUCCUAUAGGUAGCCUAUAUGAGCUGUUGGAGAAAAAUAAAAUUACACAAAUGAAACAAAAUAUCAAUAGUAGGCUAUAAACUUUGAUUGUGAACAUAAGUUAGCUACAAGUAUUAUGCGAUUAAUUCUUAACAUAAUAUAUUAUAGACUAUUAUGUGAUUAAUUCUCAAAAUAAUUAAUAUAGCCUAUCAUAUACUUCAGUAGCGAGUAAUCUGCUGUGACAUCACAAUCAAGUUGAAUUGUGGGAUACAGAGAUGCUUGAAAUGUACAUCAGAGUAGAGUCGCUCCCUCUGUCAAAAUCGAGGGGACGAGGGUCUGUCCAUAUAAACUUUCCUCGUCCACUUCACAAGUGGAACGCACUUAAAAAUUAUGGCAGGGAUUUCCCAGAGGGGAAGUGCUUAAGGAAGGUUGCGAGUGGGUGCCUAAAGUGACAGUGGAACGCAGCCCUGGACUGUUCACAUGUGUUUAACUUUUGCCUGUUUGACUUUGAUUGUGGAAAACCCCUCAAUAAAUGCUACGCUUUGA